UCCCUCGUGGUCUAGUGGUUAGGAUACCUAGUUCUCAUCCACGAUACCUGGGUUCGAUUCCCGGCGAGAGAA
This is a non-coding RNA of Trichonephila clavipes, 72 nucleotides long. The record is from the annotation of a GenBank genome assembly. NCBI's taxonomy places the organism in Eukaryota, Metazoa, Arthropoda, Arachnida, Araneae, Nephilidae.